Molecule: long non-coding RNA, 2969 nt
Organism: Carassius gibelio (silver crucian carp)
Lineage: Eukaryota; Metazoa; Chordata; Actinopteri; Cypriniformes; Cyprinidae
Exons: 3
Source: RefSeq, a predicted model, not a curated record
CGGAUUACUGUAUACUGUUUGCCGCUGUUCCGGUUCUAUGAUUUACAGUUCCUGAACCCAUCCAUUUGUGAACUGUACAUGACACUUCAAUGACUUGUAGCUUCGGAACUAUUCUGAAGUGUAGGUGUCACAAAACAAACAAGGUAGCCAAGGAUAUCUGUAAUGCAAAAGUGCGACAGCAAGUCAUCGUCGGUACUCCACUCUUUGUUGGGAAUUUCAUAUGGAUCCAAACCGUUAAUAGUGUCGAUUUUGUCCACAUACCGGUCCCUGGCAUCCCUAUUUAGCGUAUCCUUAUAAAUCCUACAACCUUUCCACGAUUUUAACAUCUUUUUUUCUUUCUCCCAACUCGUUCAACUUGCUGUAUGUUUACAUUAGCAAAGCCAUCAACAUGGCCGCCACAUCCCAGAAUGCAGCGCGGCGCCCAAGCCCUGAAGGCUUACACACAGGUUCGAAGACUCGUUCUUGCCCCCUACAGUGCAAUUCAGUUAGAUAUACAUCCGCGCUAAAAUACCAAGGUGAAAGUCAUCAUAGCUCGCCUAAUAUAGACCCAGCUCUCAACCCAACUUUGAGAAUAGAUUAACUGAGAUUUUUUUUUUUUUUCGCCCGAUAAGUCGAGAAGGGUAUUCCUGCACAACCGGAGGCUGCAGUUACAGGACCGCAAUUCUGUGACCGCAGCUUUAGGACCCUAGUAUUUUUGUGACAGCGCCACCUACUGUACUGAUUCAACACUAAUUAAAGAUGGACGACGUGGACCGCAACCAGACGGUGAGUAUCGAUAUUUAAUUAAGUUUUAUUUUAUAACGUUUAAACAGUGCAAAGUUUACAUAGUGAGAACUACUACCUAUGAAUUAAUAAUUAAUUCCCACCAAAUUAAGAAUUUGUGAGCUAGUUUUAUUAAUUACUACGACGUUAAUUCGUGGCUAUGAUUUCAUAAAUCUUAAUUGUGUUUUAAUGACGAAUUAUUAUAAGUGAAUCUAGCCUGCACAUUAAUUAAACUUACCAGAUGACAAGAGCAUGGUUGAUGUAAGGUUUGUAAGAUUUACCUGCAGCUUAAUGUAUUAGUGUGAAUACUGGCUUAAUAGUCGUUGUUUUACCAUAUUUAUGUCUACUCCACAUACAGUUAUACAUUGCUAUCAUGUGUUAGUUUCUGUCAUGUUUUGCAUGGCCAAUACGAAAUGAUUUUAUGGAUUCAAUUAGGCUCAUUGUAGUACAGAUGAUAAAAAAGGCACUAGGGAUAUUUUCAUAAUCUCAAAAUAUUCUAACAAGUACACUCACUUUUCCAAGAUACAUAUAACAAUCAAAAAGGGAAAUCCCUGCCCGAAUUGAAGAGAUGCACCACAUCCUGCAAGGACUUUUACUUUUCAUAUAUAUAUUCCAGUUGAAUAUGUUAAACAAAUGUUUCUUAUUUAUCUCUCUCUGUCUCUGGCUCUCUCUUUCUCUAGAGUUGAAGCCUACAGCUGUUCUAUCCAUGCAGCAACUGAUGGAAAAGGGGUUCACGUUGGUGCUGUUGUGAUGUUGUCACAAAAAUGACAUGUGUAUAUACUGUAAAGACCAAGAGUUUGGACACACUUUCUCAUUCAAAGAGUUUUCUUUAUUAUAUUUAUUUAUAUAGACAGAAGACUAUUUACAUCAUUAAAUUAAAGUUUAUGGAAACUCGUUUUUCCUCGUCAAUCAUUCUCCAUUCAGUAAGGUUAUUCAAACAGCGCGCGCCUCGUGCAUGGUAAAACGCUCUUCAAUAUAUGAUAUAUUCACAUUAUAAUGCUUGAUCUGUAGAUAAAAGGCUGUGGAUUUGCAUAAGAUGACUUUAUUUUGUGUAUUUGUAUUUUAUGUUUGUUGCUGUUUUUAAACGACUCGCUACCGUUUGUAGUGAUUGAUCACGGACACAUCACAAAGACUAUGAAAAGGCAUCAAACGCACAAUAACUGGAAUUUAAAACUGUGAAGAAACAAAUGAUCAAUAAACUGUUGGACAGAUAUACAUUAGGAUUUGUGCGCUUUGUGCCGUGAACUUUUAAAUGCGCACUUGAGCAGCGCAGCGCUGCACACUCUGACUCCAUGUUAAAGUAAAUAGUCCGCUCCGCGUCCAUAGCAACGCUCUGUUUAUGGCAAUGGUGUGUUCUACUUCGCAGCGGUCUGUUAUUAAGAAAUAACAAACCGCAUUCUACAUUAGGAUUCAACCAAGCCAUGUCAUAAAUGCUAAUAACAUGAUGCAUAAAAUUGGUUUAGUAUUAUACAUUUGCUGUGAUGUUAAAGCAUUUAACAGAACAAUAUAAACCCAGUUUGGCUUCUACACUAAAGGGCUAACAUUAAUUUACUCCUUAUGUCCCCUUUCCAGGGGCACUAUUAAAGUAUAUGCUGCCAGUAAGCAAACCUCCAUCUGUUGGUGAGUAUAAAGGGGCUGUAAAAUGAUAACCUUCUGCAUUUUAAAAAUUAAGUCUAACUUUAUAUAUAAUUAUUUUCUUUAUUUCAUUGCAACUCCAUCAACAACUACUUUUCCUGGUUCACAACACAGUCAUGUCACCCAAGAAGCUGGCGAUGCUGAUUUUUUCAUUAGCAUGCCCAUCAACCUCUACCUCCAGCUCUGGUGUCACCCAAGAAGCUGACAAUGCUGGUCUUUCUCCUGUUGAAGUGGAGAGCAGUACCCCCAUGCCUUCCAUCACACCUUUUAUUCAAUUUUUUGUUUUUUAGCAAAUUACUUUUUUCCAAGGAGAACAUGUAUGCAUGUGCGCGCACACAAAUACACAAGUUUGGAUUUUAAUAGUUCUAUUAAAAUGUUACCUAAUUCUUAUUAUUGGUACUAUUAAUCUUGUUUGUGGUGUUUUAGAUGUUAUUGUUAAUUUUGUUUAUUUGAAAAAUUCAAACAUUUAAAUGUUCUAUUUAUUAUCAUAUAUAAUAUUUUAUUUAAAUGUUAUUCUAUUUGCUCUAUUUCAUUUAAAUUCUAUAUAAAGGCUGUUGUUUGUGCCUCUUAAA